Molecule: ribosomal RNA, 243 nt
Filed under: uncultured bacterium
Lineage: Bacteria
Description: partial 16S ribosomal RNA
Rfam family: Bacterial small subunit ribosomal RNA
Source: RNAcentral
CGAGGUGAAGCAAAUCCCAAAAAAGUAGUCUCAGUUCAGAUUGUAGGCUGCAACUCGCCUACAUGAAGUCGGAAUUGCUAGUAAUCGCGGAUCAGCAUGCCGCGGUGAAUACGUUCCCGGGCCUUGUACACACCGCCCGUCACACCAUGAGAGCCGGUAACACCCGAAGUCAGUAGCCUAACCGCAAGGGGGGCGCUGCCGAAGGUGGGAUUGGUAAUUGGGGUGAAGUCGUAACAAGGUAUC